UGUUUGUUGUGUUUCUAUGACCGGGACAUUUUGGGAGAACAUCCAUUAUUUUGGAUCUUCUUUUAUUAUGUGUCCAUAGCUCCAGCUCUUCUAAGAACCUUCUUCCUAUAUCAUUCCCAUAAAGAGACAAAUAUAGAAUCUUAAGGUGCUUCUAAAAUACAGAGGAUAAGGACAAACAUCCAAUAGAGAUUUUAAUAAAAGAGAGGUAGUUUAUGAAGUUGGAUUCAAACCAGAGACAUUGGGCAUAAUCCUGGCAAAACUUCUAUUGACUUCAGUGAGGCAGGAUUUCACUCUGUGUUCUCCCAUUCUCAAAUACAGCUAUCAAAGGUACCAAGAAAGAAUCUAUCAUGAGAGGCCACAGUGUUUUCCAGAUUUAGCUGUGAAGUGCUACAGCGCCUCAGGGAAUGUCAUACAUACCUGGAGAAAGAUGAACACAAUUGUAAUUUAUAUAUAUCACCCACAAAAAGCCUCGGCUCUCACAUAUUUCCUGGACCAUCACAGCUACAACAGCAUUUCAGUGCUACUACAAUUUAUUUUAAAUCUUUGAACUUUCUUCUAACCAUUGGAAACAACAUCAUCCCCGGACAAAAUGGCCGAAGUUCAAAUGCCAUCAGCCGUGGCAGCUUUACAGACAUUUUUUCAGGUUUUAAUCAAUUUAAUAUCUUGACCUUGAGGGUCUAUCAAGAUAAGCAGCACCUGAGCUGAGGUCGCUGAAGAUGACAUUAUUUCCCUAAGACAUAAAAGAAAUGACAAAACAAUGGGAGUCAGGCACCUAGUGCUUUUGAAAAUCCUACUACAUGCCUGUCUCCAUCUCUAGGCACCUAACAAUCUUUAAAAUCUGGCUUUAAAUCUGCAAAGCAAUCAGUCACUCAUUGGUCUUCAGUCAUGGCUGAUUUAAAGAUCUGCAGGUGCUGCAGUAAGCAAUCAAUAGGAUUUGAGGCAGAGUGGAUAGUGGCGCUGUGUAAAAAAAAAUGAAACAAUAAAUUGGGACAUGGAGCUUUAGCAAAGCAGGUGGUUUGAUAAAAAGUAUUUGGUAAAGCCUGAGGAGCUGAAGUCAAAGACUCUGCAUAUUCUAAGAAUACCCAGAGUUGCGUGCAUUUUCUGUUGUUAUUAAUAUUCUGUUUUAAGUUCCUAAUACCACUUCCUCUGAUCAUCUCUUCCCAAGCUGUUCCUCAGCUGUUCUCAGCUGUUCAGCCAGGGACAAUUUAAGAAACCAUAUUGAAAUGGGCAAUACAACCCUUUGUGAAGGAAUUAAGAACUGGAUUUUUUUUAACUGUACUGUGGUAGAGAGCCAGUGCAGAGAUUGGAGGGAAAGAUAUUGUAUUUGCACAUGUCUACACUGCUUCCAUGUUGAACCUGAGUGUACUGCUGGGACACAUGACCUUUCCACUUACCAUUUUUCUACCCCCAAGACUUUCUGUCUGGGAUGUGCUUACUCAGCAGGGGUGGGCAAAAUGUGGCCCGGGGGCUAGAUGAAGCCUGCCAGGCCAUUAAUAUCUGGCCCGUGGGGCCCCUAAAAAAUUUAGAAAAUUAAUAUUAAUCUGCCCUGAACUGCCUGUCAUGCAGCCCUCGAUGGCUUGCCGAAACUCAGUAAGCGGCCCUCUGCCCAAAAUAAUUGCCUGCCCCUGGCUUACUGGCACAGGCUCAGAACCAAACUAAUUUUGGUUCUGUCUAAUUUUUCUUAUUUGACACACACAGACUGUGAAGGGGAUGUUCUUCUGAAUAGUGUACAGCAGAGCAUUAGGACAGAUUUGCCUUUUGUGAGGAAAAAGCUAUAUGAGCUAUUCUUUAAGCAAAAUCCAAGUAGUCUGAUGUAUUGUGGUGCACGACUGAUUGCGAAGCAGAAGAAUGGUGGGGAAAGCACAGAGUGAAGGGAAAAGACUGCUUGCCUCAAUCUACAGAUCCUGCCAUUUAUUUCCCUACUUUUUAAAAAUUCUCAAAGCAGUGCAUGCUUCCUUCAGCAAAUAAAUCCUCUCUGUUUUAAAGGUAUCCUUAUACUUUCCAGAACCAAGUUAGUUGUUCCCUGUUGAAGGUUUUGCAGCUGUGAUUAUGGAAAUAAAUCUGUACUACAUUUUUAGCCCAGUGGCCCAUUGCAGCUUGCUUCAGGUUCUUAGCUCACAAGAAUAACGACAGUCAUUUUAUGAGAAUGAGCGAUUAUAAAUCACAUACUUUGUCAGCUCAAUGCUUUUCUCUAGCAGUAGAGUAUCUGAGACAGCUGGUCCUGUAGGACUAGUUCACUACUCACUUCUUGGAGCUCUGCUCACUUUUUGUUUGUUUUACCUGAAUUUAAGUCAGCUUUAGCAGCUUCCAGUCUCAGCCAUUUUGGGGGACAACGUUAAAAAAAAAAAAAAAAAAAGUUGGGGGGGUUAUAAACAAAUUGUCCACUGUCCAGUAUAACAUGUAUUUUCAACACUGAGUUUAUGUCAUACAUUUCUGAUGAAAAAAUAAUAUAAUUUUUUGUUUUCCUUAACUAA
Alligator mississippiensis (American alligator) is the source of this 2474-nucleotide long non-coding RNA. RefSeq lists it as uncharacterized. The record is from RefSeq and is a predicted model, not a curated record. NCBI's taxonomy places the organism in Eukaryota, Metazoa, Chordata, Crocodylia, Alligatoridae. The transcript has 2 exons.